GUCAACAAACUAACAUCAUCAUAGAUCGGUAGAGCGUGAGACUCUUAAUCUCAAGGUUGUGGGUUCGACCCCCACGUCGGGCU
Molecule: non-coding RNA, 83 nt
Organism: Diplogelasinospora grovesii
Lineage: Eukaryota; Fungi; Ascomycota; Sordariomycetes; Sordariales; Diplogelasinosporaceae
Source: the annotation of a GenBank genome assembly